Molecule: ribosomal RNA, 675 nt
Filed under: uncultured Gammaproteobacteria bacterium
Lineage: Bacteria; Pseudomonadati; Pseudomonadota; Gammaproteobacteria
Description: bacterial SSU rRNA
Rfam family: Bacterial small subunit ribosomal RNA
Source: RNAcentral
CGGGGUGAACUUGGCGCUGACGAGUGGCGGACGGGUGAGUAAUGCAUAGGAAUCUGCCCAGUAGUGGGGGAUAACGUAGAGAAAUUUACGCUAAUACCGCAUGUGUCCUACGGGACAAAGCAGGGGACCUUCGGGCCUUGCGCUAUUGGAUGAGCCUAUGUUGGAUUAGCUAGUUGGUAGAGUAAAAGCCUACCAAGGCGACGAUCCAUAGCUGGUCUGAGAGGAUGAUCAGCCACACUGGAACUGAGACACGGUCCAGACUCCUACGGGAGGCAGCAGUGGGGAAUAUUGCACAAUGGGCGAAAGCCUGAUGCAGCAAUGCCGCGUGUGUGAAGAAGGCCUGCGGGUUGUAAAGCACUUUUAUUAGGAAAGAAAAACUUGGGGAUAAUACCCCCAAGCCUUGACGGUACCUAAUGAAUAAGCACCGGCUAACUCAGUGCCAGCAGCCGCGGUAAUACUGAGGGUGCAAGCGUUAAUCGGAAUUACUGGGCGUAAAGCGAGUGUAGGCGGUUACGUAAGUCGGAUGUGAAAUCCCCGGGCUUAACCUGGGAAUUGCAUUCGAUACUGCGUAGCUAGAGUUUGGUAGAGGUAAGUGGAAUUCCGGGUGUAGCGGUGAAAUGCGUAGAUAUCCGGAGGAACAUCAGUGGCGAAGGCGGCUUACUGGACCAAAACUGA